GCAUGGCUGUCGUCAGCUCGUGUCGUGAGAUGUUCGGUUAAGUCCGGCAACGAGCGCAACCCACAUCUUUAGUUGCCAGCAGUUCGGCUGGGCACUCUAGAGAAACUGCCCGUGAUAAGCGGGAGGAAGGUGUGGAUGACGUCAAGUCCUCAUGGCCCUUACGGGUUGGGCUACACACGUGCUACAAUGGUAGUGACAAUGGGUUAAUCCCAAAAAGCUAUCUCAGUUCGGAUUGGGGUCUGCAACUCGACCCCAUGAAGUCGGAAUCGCUAGUAAUCGCGUAACAGCAUGACGCGGUGAAUACGUUCCCGGGCCUUGUACACACCGCCCGUCACACCAUGGGAGUUGGAUUCACUCGAAGGCGUUGAGCUAACCCGCAAGGGAGGCAGGCGACCACAGUGGGUUUAGCGACUGGGGUGAAGUCGUAACAAGGUAGCCGUAUCGGAAGGUGCGGCUGGAUCACCUCCUU
This 469-nucleotide ribosomal RNA is filed under the name Heterosigma akashiwo. RNAcentral describes it as "partial Bacterial small subunit ribosomal RNA". It matches the Rfam family "Bacterial small subunit ribosomal RNA", at positions 1043 to 1532 of the family's 1533-position model. The record is from RNAcentral. Lineage: Eukaryota; Raphidophyceae; Chattonellales; Chattonellaceae.